UUCACUCCUCUGUGGAGAGAGACACAGGGAUUCCUGACCAAGCUGCCAUGGAUCCUUCCCUCCUCCAGCUCCAUCCCUUUGAUGCCUCAUCCAUCUCCUCUUCACCGUCUUGUCUUUGCCUGUUCCCUUUUCUGCUUCUCUGCUCCUCUUAAGGCUGGGUUUUCCUCCUGCGUCUCCUCUGUGCGCCUGUGAGUGUCCCCUGUCUGCUCAUCCUCUCUCCCUCUGUCCACCUGUUUCUCUUUCUUCCAGCGUUUCUCCAUCUCACGCGCUGCCUCUGUCAUUUUCUCUCUUUCUUCGUCUUUCUCUCUCUCUCAUUGUUCUGAGACAUAGCAGUGCCUGGCCCAGCGGGGACAACAUGUUUCACAGACAAAUCAUCCAACAAAAGAGAGGAGGAACGUGCUUCAGUAACUCUGGACUUGGCCAUGUGACUUUCUUGGGCCAAUGGGACAUGAGCAAGCAUGAUACCAGCAGGGAUUUGAUUCUUCCUCCACCUCAGCUGAAAGGAUUCAUCUUGCAGCACGGCCCACCUUGGAACCCUUUGUGUUUGCUGAAACUUUCUUUGUGAUUAUUCUUAUGUCACUGCAUAGCAUGUAAAUGUAUCACACCCCCCCCCCACCCAUUAUUAUUAUCUCCUAGUAUGCACCAGGCACUGGCCAUAAAUUAUUUCUAAUCAUCAUUAAAACUCUACCACGGUUAUCCUCCCUCUAUGGAUAGGAAAACUAAGGCUUGGAGGUUGAAGAGGUCAUGGAUCUUGUCCAAGGUCACUAAACUCAUAAAUGUCACAGUCAAAAUUUGAAUCUAGAUAGAGUUGUCAGCUCCAAAGAAGUUUGCUCAGUCAGUUCUUCCCCAAAUUAGCUUUUUAUCCAAAUUUGCUGAGAAGCUUUUUAAAAAUACAUCUUCUUUACAACAAAGCCAGAGAAAGAAUAAGGCAGCUCUCUGCACAACAAUAUGGUGCUCGUAUAUGCCUAGAACAUCUCCAGGAAGAAGGUGAGUCACUGGCCACCGCUGGCCUCAGGGGAUGGUCUACGGGAGGGGACACAGGAGUGGGAGGGAGACUUGCUUUUUACUAUAUUCUCCAGUACUUAUUGGAUUCCUUCCUUUCCUUCCUUCCUUCCUUCCUUCCUUCCUUCCUUCC
Molecule: long non-coding RNA, 1135 nt
Filed under: Homo sapiens (human)
Lineage: Eukaryota; Metazoa; Chordata; Mammalia; Primates; Hominidae
Description: non-protein coding LINC01512:2
Source: RNAcentral